GAUGAACGCUGGCGGCGUGCCUAAUACAUGCAAGUCGAGCGAACGGACGAGAAGCUUGCUUCUCUGAUGUUAGCGGCGGACGGGUGAGUAACACGUGGAUAACCUACCUAUAAGACUGGGAUAACUUCGGGAAACCGGAGCUAAUACCGGAUAAUAUUUUGAACCGCAUGGUUCAAAAGUGAAAGACGGUCUUGCUGUCACUUAUAGAUGGAUUCGCGCUGCAUUAGCUAGUUGGUAAGGUAACGGCUUACCAAGGCAACGAUGCAUAGCCGACCUGAGAGGGUGAUCGGCCACACUGGAGCUGAGACACGGUCCAGACUCCUACGGGAGGCAGCAGUAGGGAAUCUUCCGCAAUGGGCGAAAGCCUGACGGAGCAACGCCGCGUGAGUGAUGAAGGUCUUCGGAUCGUAAAACUCUGUUAUUAGGGAAGAACAUAUGUGUAAGUAACUGUGCACAUCUUGACGGUACCUAAUCAGAAAGCCACGGCUAACUACGUG
This 497-nucleotide ribosomal RNA is filed under the name uncultured bacterium. RNAcentral describes it as "partial 16S ribosomal RNA". It matches the Rfam family "Bacterial small subunit ribosomal RNA", at positions 28 to 507 of the family's 1533-position model. The record is from RNAcentral.